AAGUCGUAACAAGGUCUCCGUAGGUGAACCUGCGGAGGGAUCAUUAACACGUAUUAACGUAUCAACCAACUGUGAACUUAUAGUAACAUUAUGUAACAAUUUAUUGUUCUCUUGUUAUAUCUCUACCUAACUCAGAUUGUAUUGUUAGUUAUAACUAUUGUGGAAGGUUACGCUUGCGUAACUAGUUAUAGCUAGAGAGUGUUUAAUCACUCAAAUCUUUCUGUAUUAGGCAUUUACCCUAUAGCACUUUCACACUAGCAAAACCCUUUUCACCCUUCUUAUAAAUUGUACGACUGAAAAAUAUUGUUGUAUAUGUAAUGUAUACAUAAAUAUUGAUAUUCACAACUAAAAGCACAACUCUUAGCAACGGAUAUCUUGGUUUUC
Molecule: unclassified non-coding RNA, 384 nt
Filed under: fungal sp.
Lineage: Eukaryota; Fungi
Description: partial internal transcribed spacer region
Rfam family: Eukaryotic small subunit ribosomal RNA (bases 1-46)
Source: RNAcentral